AUGGUUAGAAGAAGGAGGUGGCGAUCAGCAGCUACUUGGGGGAUCGAGCAGUCGAAGAAGCUGGUGCGUGAGGAAGGCACCGAGUGGAAGUGGUCUUGCUUCAGGCCAUGGGAGGCGUACAGCGCAGACAUGUCGAUCGAUCUGACCAAGCACCAUGUGCCCAACACGAUGCUCGACAAGAUCGCCUACUACACCGUCAAGUCCCCGCGCUUCCCCACCGACAUCUUCUUCCAGGUACUCUUCUGUUAA
Molecule: ribosomal RNA, 249 nt
Filed under: Triticum aestivum (bread wheat)
Lineage: Eukaryota; Viridiplantae; Streptophyta; Magnoliopsida; Poales; Poaceae
Description: partial small subunit ribosomal RNA
Source: RNAcentral